Molecule: ribosomal RNA, 320 nt
Filed under: uncultured Chloroflexota bacterium
Lineage: Bacteria; Bacillati; Chloroflexota
Description: bacterial SSU rRNA
Rfam family: Bacterial small subunit ribosomal RNA
Source: RNAcentral
GAUGAACGCUGGCGGCGUGCUUAACACAUGUAAGUCGUACGGUGAAGCCCACUUCGGUGGGCGGAACAGUGGCGGACUGGUGAGUAACACGUAGGUGACCUGCCCCAAAGAGGGGAAUAACCUUGCGAAAGCAGGGCUAAUACCCCGUGUGAUCGGUGAUUCGAUGCACUGAUUAAAGCUUCGGCGCUUUGGGAGGGGCCUGCGGCCCAUCAGCUAGUUGGUAGGGUAAUGGCCUACCAAGGCGGAGACGGGUAGCUGGUCUGAGAGGACGAUCAGCCACAAUGGCACUGAAACACGGGCCAUACUCCUACGGGAGGCAG